GGAAGAUGGUGUCAUUGAUCGUGUUGUGAAAUGGCCACCACAUGCAUCCAUAAUCAUAAAGAGAUCCUUGAAAGAAGCUAAGAUCACUGUUGUGGAAGAGAAACUACAAGUUGUUCGCAAGAUAUAAUUGGGAGUAGGCUAUUGGUGCCCAGCUGUAGGUUGCGGGUAGGGUAUUAGGUGACUCUCUUGUGCUUAAAAACUCGUGUAAGCAGAGUUGUGGUUCGCUAUCUCCUGCAUGUGAUUCGAAUUUUCCUUUCCUCAUUAACAACUAACCCUAUAAGGCUUCUGGAUCGGUUACAACACCUUAUGUAAACGACAUUAAAUAAAU
This is a non-coding RNA of Paramuricea clavata, 328 nucleotides long. Lineage: Eukaryota; Metazoa; Cnidaria; Anthozoa; Malacalcyonacea; Plexauridae. The record is from the annotation of a GenBank genome assembly.